AUACCAUGAGGAGGACACUUCCUUAACUACUCCUUAAAUUGCUCCCAAGAAUCAUACACUGACUCUCCUUCCAUCUGGUAAAAAUUUUUGAUCUUUCCCCUUAGUUU
Molecule: small nucleolar RNA, 107 nt
Organism: Humulus lupulus (European hop)
Lineage: Eukaryota; Viridiplantae; Streptophyta; Magnoliopsida; Rosales; Cannabaceae
Source: RefSeq, a predicted model, not a curated record